AUGGCGGCGGAUGAGGAGUUGACGAGCAAGGGGAUGGCCGGCCAUGAAGGGUGCCACCAAAAUUGUAGUGUUGAGAAGUGCUCGUCGACCGGCGGCCGGUGCGCCACCAAAAGGAAGGCCGAGGAGGCGGCGGCGGCCGGCGAGGAGUGUCCGCUGAAGGUGUGCAAAGUGGAGGCGGCGCCGGAAGUCGCCGCAGAUUCAUUGAAGCCGGCAGUGGAGGCCGUACGCGAGAAAAGGUUGACGCGGCUGCCGCAGGAAGAGGUCGAUUGGACCCUUGCCCAUGUGGUGGAUGGUCCUGUCUCCCAUCACUACAAGUCCCUGAAGCGCCAAAACCCCAGCUUGCUGCCCUCGCCGGAGGAGCAGAUGGACAGGUACAAGGUUGAUCUCUAUAAUGGUGCCCGCGCUCUCUACGCCGUUCGAGAGAGAUUCGCCAAGUUCCAGGCACUUGUCCGCGCUGAGUAUGAGAAGCGCGGUUACGUCGAGGUCGACGACGACUUCCUCGCCCGCAGGGCGCACCUCCGGGCGUAUAACGAUGUCCUACGCGCCGAGGUAAUGAAAUAUGUCGCCCAUUUGGUCGACACCGGCGAACUUUUGGUUGCCCCCCGCCAAGAAUAA
This 615-nucleotide ribosomal RNA is filed under the name Triticum aestivum (bread wheat). RNAcentral describes it as "partial small subunit ribosomal RNA". Lineage: Eukaryota; Viridiplantae; Streptophyta; Magnoliopsida; Poales; Poaceae. The record is from RNAcentral.